UACGUAGGCAGCAAGCGUUGUUCGGAGUUACUGGGCGUAAAGAGUGUGUAGGCGGUUUUCUAAGUUUGGGGUGAAAUCUCCCGGCUUAACUGGGAGGGUGCGCCGAAGACUGGAAGGCUUGAGUAUGGGAGAGGAAAGCGGAAUUCCUGGUGUAGCGGUGAAAUGCGUAGAUAUCAGGAGGAACACCUGUGGCGAAAGCGGCUCACUGGACCAUAACUGACGCUGAUGCACGAAAGCUAGGGGAGCAAACAGG
RNAcentral lists this ribosomal RNA (253 nucleotides) under uncultured bacterium. RNAcentral's name for it is "partial 16S ribosomal RNA". It matches the Rfam family "Bacterial small subunit ribosomal RNA", at positions 524 to 776 of the family's 1533-position model. The record is from RNAcentral.